Long non-coding RNA from Hemicordylus capensis (graceful crag lizard), 807 nucleotides. RefSeq lists it as uncharacterized. The transcript has 2 exons. The record is from RefSeq and is a predicted model, not a curated record. NCBI's taxonomy places the organism in Eukaryota, Metazoa, Chordata, Lepidosauria, Squamata, Cordylidae.
CCAUUGGCUGAGGAAGGAGCCGCAACGAGGACUCGGGGAACGGCAAACAGGACAGAGGACUGGGGAACAGAGACAGAGGAAGAAGGGAAGGAUUCAGAGGGAAGAAAACAGGGAAGGGAAGGAAACAGAGGAAGAAAGGUGGCAGGAGAAGGUACAAGGGGGCGGCUCGGGUGGAACGGCAAACUGAGGAAGCCAAACAGGCGGCAAACAGGGCGGCCAGCAUAUUCGGGGAAGAGAGAAAGAAAGGCAGCAGGAGCAGGAAUGAGGGAGCGGCUGGGGCAGGACGCGGGGAACGGCAGGCGGGAAUUGGCUGGCAACCUUGGAGCAGCAGGAGCAGGGACUUCGGUCUAGAAUUAAUAUUUCCAUUGCUGGCUCGUUCCCCAGGAAAUUUGCCGAGCCAACAAGUGGCCUUCCUGCUUGAGGAUAGUAUUCCUGCCAUUACUUGGAAAGUGGUGGGCUUCUGUGCAGCAGCUCGAAGACUGCGUCGGCUUCUAAUUAAUAAAUCCAGUGCUGCCCUAUAGCUUUUUAGUUAUAGUAUAGUUGGUGGGUUUUGAGACUGUUGACCUGUUAUCUUUUUAAUUGUUAUUUAUGUUUUUAUUUCAAUUGUAUAUUCACUCUGUCUUAUUUAUAAAUUUUUGAGUUUUAGUAAUUAAUUCCCUCCUUAAGAUUGGGAGGCUUUUGGUGGUUUCAGUAAUAUACCCUAGAGUAUUGUGAUAUAAGUGGUAUUAUGUUUUUAUCUUGAACUGUGUUGUAUGUUCUGUCUCCUUGUUGUGCUGGUCGAGGACUGUAAUAAACCUUGAACUUGAA